UAACACAAAUAUAUUUAUUGCACCUCGCGGUACAGUAAAACGUAACCGCGAGAGAAGCAGGGAGCGCUUGCUCAUCUCUGUUAACUCGCUCGAGGCUAUUAACAAGGGGUCGGUCGGUCCGUCAAGUCUCCGCUCAUCUUGGGUUUCAGUGACACGCAUGCGCACUAACAGGUCUCUGGAAUCUGAUGCAGCUCGCAGCACAGGCUGAGUCGCUGCCUUGGAAACGCCACACAUGCGGAGCACGAACUGGGGACCCAGAUUUCAGAGGCUUCUUCCUCCACUCUUCUCCUCCAUCCAUUCCUCCCAUCAGCAGUCAACUGGGCGGCUGUGCCACCACUGAUAUGGACCCGCGGAAAUGCAGACAAGGCUGAAAAAGACAAGAGUGAAAAAGAAGAAAAUAACUUGAAGCGGCGCACAGGCAGGUAAACCAUGCCCUUGGUAAAACGCAGUAUAGAGCCUAGACAUCUGUGUCGAGGUGCAGUACCUGAUGGAGUCACCAGUGAACUGGAGUGUGUUACCAAUAGCACCCUCGCUGCCAUCAUCAAACAGCUUGGUAGCCUCAGUAAGUCGUCAUGCGGAGGACAUCUUUGGAGAGCUGUUCAAUGAAGCCAACAGCUUCUACAUGAGAAUGAACAACCUACAGGAGAGAGUAGACAUACUGGCUGUCAAAGUCACACAGCUAGACUCCACCGUGGAAGAAGUCUCUCUGCAGGACAUCAACAUGCGUAAAGCGUUUAAGAGCAGCACCAUCCAAGACCAACAGGUGGUCUCACGGACCUCAGUCCCCAACCCUGUGGUAGAGAUGUACCAUCGCUGUGACAAACCUCCACCGCUCAACAUACUCAGUACCUAUAGGGAUGAUAAGAAGGAUGCGUUGAAGUUCUACACAGACCCCUCCUACUUCUUCAUGCUGUGGAAAGAAAAGAUGCUGCAGGCCACGGAGGACAAGAGGAAGGAGAAGAGACGACAGAAGACCAGCUGUCCGACCCACUCUGACCAGGGUAGACCCCACAGCAGACAGGCUCCACCUCGCAGCCCACUACCCAGCUCCGAGCAGCACAAACAGGUAGAGGACCCGGGAAGGGAGGUGAAGAAGGUUCGUAAAGCCCGUAAUCGCAGACAGGAGUGGAAUAUGAUGGCUUAUGACAAGGAGUUCCGCCCCGAUACCAGACUAACCCCCUCACCCUAUCACGGAAUGUCCGAGGGGUCGCUAUCACCCGAUAACAGGUCUGUGGCAUCAGACAUGGGCGAGCUCUCCUACCCGUCCAGCCCUAACCAGCCCUCCCAGCCCCCCUCCGCCCCCCACCCCAUCGACGGUGUCCCCCACCUCACCCAGACACCACAGACCCAGUCCUUAGACAGGGGUGGGUACCCCCGACCUAAUCUCCCCUCUGGUGUAGUCGCUGGGGGAAGACAUAUCGCCUCUCUGGGGCGCACUCAGCUCCCCCACGCACCCCCCGCCUCCUCUGAGGGGGGAGCACUCAAUGGGCCACGGCAGCAGUCUGUCAAGGACUACAGGGCAUAUGGCGGCCAGCCAUCAGCCAUCCCCGAGUACUUCACCCCCUGCCCCUCCUCCUCCCCCACCCCUCAUCCCGUCCACCCAGACUGCCUUCGACUCCACCUCCUCCUUCCCCAUUCUCCCCCCCGGGGCCGUGGCGGUCAUGUCCCGCCCUUACAGUCCCUCCCCUACACCCCCCGCCCCCCCUGUCAACUAUAUCCCCUCCCCCUCUCACACCCCCUCCGGUGCCCCUCCCGCUGCCCCUCCUCCUCCCCCACCUGGUCUACCCCCCUCCCAUAUCCUGCCUCUGGUUCACGCCAUUGGUGGAGAAGCUCCUGCCACCAGGAAGGGCCAGAUGCCGAUGAUUCCGAUAAGCGACGCUCGCAGCGACCUGUUGGCUGCCAUACGUAGAGGUGUGCUUCCAAUCAGCAAUGCUCGCAGUGAACUGCUGGCAGCAAUACGCAGAGGUAUCCAGUUGAGGAAGGUCCAGGAACAGAGAGAGCAGGAAGCAAAGAGAGAGCCAGUUGGAAACGACGUGGCCACCAUCCUAUCACGUCGCAUCGCCGUUGAGUACAGUGAAUCAGAUUCCGACUCCGGCGGGGAGGACAACGGGG
Molecule: RNA transcript, 2112 nt
Organism: Oncorhynchus keta (chum salmon)
Lineage: Eukaryota; Metazoa; Chordata; Actinopteri; Salmoniformes; Salmonidae
Exons: 11
Source: RefSeq, a predicted model, not a curated record